GUUUUUGUGGUGUAAACGGUAGCACACUCGACUCCUAUUCGGGAGGUUCAGGUUUCGAGUCCCGUCGAGGGCA
Molecule: transfer RNA, 73 nt
Filed under: Stegodyphus mimosarum
Lineage: Eukaryota; Metazoa; Arthropoda; Arachnida; Araneae; Eresidae
Rfam family: tRNA
About the family: Transfer RNA (tRNA) molecules are approximately 80 nucleotides in length.
Source: Rfam by way of RNAcentral